UUGGUUCGUUUCACAGAUUUAUUCAAGAAAAAAAGGCGUUGUUGUUUUUUAACAUUUCCCAUAGAUACACAGUAAUUCUUCCACUGACAACCACAUAAUCAACAGAAGGCGAAGCUCUGCGUUCGUGACCUUGUCGACAGCCACUGUCUUUGUGGUGGGAUUCAAAGCCCACCGGACCCAGCACACAGCCCCCACACAGGCUGCAGUGGGACUCGGCCCCAGCCACUGUCCUGCUGGCUCACCUGCAGCUAAGCUGGGUGAUUCACCUUUAUCACACAGCACUCAGAGCACGUCGAACAGCAGACAGUUUGUCCCCAGGUUUCCUUCCAUCCGUCCCCCAGCAGACCCCUAUACACCCACUCAGCUCUCCUGCUAAUUUCAUCAGCCACAGUGCAAAUAUUUGGGAAUUACUUCAUUCUCCUUUUGCUCUGUCCAAGCCCUUCCUGAAUUUGUAAACCUAUCUGCAUGGGAACCCUUGGUAUAUCUGCAGGAACGCGUGGCCGUGGGAAAGAAACAGCUUGGUUACAGUAACGGAGAAGAAUACAGGUCAGCAGGGGGAGGUUACAGCAUCCCCUCGCUGGGAAUAGGGUGCUCAUGUACACUGUUAGAAAGAGCACAGACAGGCUGUGAUUACACUGCAUAGUUGUUCUCCUGCUUGCUGUCAAAGUGGUUCUUCAGCUGCCUGCAGGACAACACCACGCUGCUGAUCGUCACUUCUGUCUUCCAGAGGGCGAUGCGAUGAGGAGGCGGGAUACUGCAGCAGCAUCUGGAAAGAGAAACCACUGUGGCUCAGUAAGAGAUCUGCUCGCAGUUACAGACAGAACCUGAGCUCAGCUGCUGCCGAGCCUGAAGGAGCCUCCAGUCAGCUGAGCCGAUGGAGCUGACGGACAUUUUGAACACACUCACGCAGCGACAUGCACACACGUGUAUGAGAAUACCUGGCCAAGACGCUUCCCCAGCGUCGCUUAUCAGUCCAGGCAUGAAGGCAGAUCUCUGCAGAUGCAGACUUCCUCGGGGUUGCAGUGUUGCAAGCAUAAGGCAACCUACAGCUUAGCUACGUUGCUCCAUCGCAUGGAAGGUGGCCCAACUGUAUGGCAGAUCACAGGAGAGAUAACAGAGAAAGAAGUUAGGAAAGCUGAAGGAGUAAGAACGUGUGCGAGUAAAACAGCAAACAAAAAAUGAAAAAUGAGGAGGCAGAGCUAUAGACAGGGAGAAAUCUAAAGAAGGCAAAAAGGAGAAAUAAACCAGAGUGAAGAGAAGAUGGCACAGCCAAUCAUUAGAGACAUUCAAUUGUUAUUUUCAAGAUCUCCUGUGACUUUGCUGCCAUGCAAGUACCCCCUAGGCAGCCCCACACUGGUGAAAUCACACCGCAGCCCCUCCCACGUGCUCAGUGCCUCCUGCCCCUCUCCCCUAGUACUGAGGGCCCCUCCCUGCAGGCCCCACAGCCGGGAAUCCCCCGCACUGGCAGGCUGGGCAUGCAGCCGGGUGGCCAGGCAGCACAGCGCACUGGGGCUGGCACUCAUCCCUCGCUCGGCUCUGACUAACCCAGCCUGCGGUGCCAUCAGCUCUGCAGGGACACCGAGAAUAGGAACGGGGACUGCUGGUAAUCCAGGAUGUGUCACUUUUCUCUGCCACUGAAAAAGAGGUACAGUCGCUUGUUUCACUAAGUGGCAUUCUUGUACCCAGCACUAAUUGAAUCCCUUUACAAAUAUGUUUUUCACCCUAGCAAGUCAAGUGCAGCUCUCUCCCCCGUACAGUCAUUCUGUUCUUAUGACUCUGUUACCAUUACUCACACACACUGCAGUGAGGCCAGAUUCAGUAUGGGGCCCGGCUGUUGCACUGCUGAGCACUGCACUGUUUCUUUGCCCAAAUCCAAAGCUCCAAAUUAGACGCCCUGCCUCAGCGUAUAAUGCAGAAGAGUAUAUAAGAAUGGGUUUUGACCAGCCUGGUUAAGUGAAAAGCUCUUUACAUGAACCAGAUGGACAGGUCAAUAAAUCUCUCAGGACACUUUGUAUAUGGAUCCCAGCUCCAGGUUAAAGCAAGCUAUCUUGCUUGGGAUUCCCAAUCCUGAGGCUUUUCUAAGGCACCUCCCCCAUCCCUUUUACAGGGCUCAUGCAAAAGGAACUCAGAAACUCAGUAUUCCCUCCCCUUCCUGACAGCACCUGUACCAGCAAACAGGCACGAUGUCUGAUCUGAAUGUUUCUCAAACCCUGCAUUCGCACACCUUUGACUGCAGUUUCUAUUAGAGGGACAGGAACCUGUAAACACAAGCCUGAAACACAGAUCUUUCAAACUAAAUCAUAGAGGCUUCUUAGAUUACCACACUGUGCUAAUGACACAAUUGCACAUCUCUUCUUGUUUCUUAAAGGAAACGGAGGCAUCACCUGCACACCUUCAUGCUUUAGGGAUUAAUGUCCUGUAUUUCUCAACAACUAAUCAUGCCAGAUAAAGGCAGCAAUGGACGCUAACCAGAAAUGAAAGCAAGACAGUUGUUUGCAUAUUAACUAGUCAAGUCUACAGCUUGUAAUUUUCACGUCACACAGGUGUACAUUCAUCUUUAUGAAUAGGUCCACUCCAUUUCUCUUAAAUAGAAUAGGAAACAACAUUAACAGCGCUAUAACCUUCUAGUACUUUAUACAGGGAUUUUUGACUUCUCCCCACCCUGAAUUAGCAAGUGAGCUCUGCUGUCUCUUGUCAAACCUCAUAAUUCCUUUUUAUUUUUUAUUUUUUUGCCAUUCUCUGUUCAGAGUUCUCAUAAAUUACUGCAAUGAGAUUAUUACAGCGAGGCUCCAGAUCCACUCCUCAUGCAAAACGGGAAAAACUUUGAGUAAAACAUACACAUGAAGGUUUUGGGGGUUUGUUUUUUCAAUCACCAGCAGUACUGAAAAUCAAGGAAGUAUUUCUUCAAAACAACCCUAACAGUUGUGCAUGCUGCAGAAAUCCAAGCACAGAACGUCUUCAGUGAAGAGACACAGUACGGGCUGCAGCGAGAGAAGAUUAACCUUUCUCAAUCCUACAGCCCAUUGAAAUGUAUUGAUUUUGAGCUGAAAAUAUCAUCUGUAGAAACAAAAUACUGUGUUCUCAUUGUUUAAUCCUUGAUGUCUCUGCUAUCUAGUUUCGUAACUGUAGAUAAGGGAUACAGAUAUUUGUCCAUAUGAAAUGAACAAAGUUCAGGAAUGCGUGUCCCUCAUGCCACUGCCAGCAUGCAGUGUCACCUUGCACGAUGAAGUCACUUUCAGACCCAGAUGAUGGACUUCAAUUGAUAAGAAACCUUUUUCUCCUCAUCUAUGACCUCUUUUCACCCACCACCCUGCAUUACACACUCAUCCCUCUUUCACUGAAUCCUUUUGUGGAGUGUACUGAGUGGGAAACUGUGCCCAAGCCCUCCACCCACCUCCAUCCAAUCCAAGUGCUGUCACUGACAGACUUUGUCUAGCACCAGCUGGAUCCUAUCCGUGGGACAGGAAUCACACGGCACUUCAUCUCUUCCACAUAACUGCUUCCCUUCUUCCAUAUUCCAGUGGAGUAGCUUUGCUGUCACAUCCUUUAGGGAAGUCCUUGUUCCUCCAGCGCCUCCUCAAACAUUCACAUGCUGGAUGGUUCUGGUGCCCUGCCACAACCUGGUACUUCCAGAAGUUUUUCUGUAUUGACCGCUGCCAGUGUCUUGGCACAGAGUUAAGUAGAGCACUAGUAGGGACAGAAGCUAAGAAGAGCACUAGUAGGGACAGGAGCUAAGAGAAAAUCUGUUGCGUAUCCUUAAGAGGCAGAUAGUCUCACUAAUGUCCCAGGCAGGCAACUCGGCAGCCUCAGCUUCAGAUGCCAAAAAGACAACCACAUGCUCCAGUCUUCCAUUCAGGGAUUGUAACUGAAGCAUCAGAGGGCAAUACAAUGUUGGGGAAUUUAUGGUAGCAGACCGCUGCCUGGCUCAAACCAGUUAAGUCUGUCCUCUCUGAGUGCUUCUUUGUGCAUGACGGUGGGAGAGCAAAACUCAUCACACCUUCAUAGUUUAAAUCAAGCUGUCAUCUCCCUGAAUACAACAGUUAAGAAUGGUGCUAAUCAUUUGAACCCCUUCCACAGAAACGACCACCACCUCUCUGAAACAAGUACAGAAAAUACUUUUAUCUAAUAAGAUAGCUUGAUUAACUUUCCUUCUGCAUAAGAAGGCACUGCAGAAAAUGUAGCUCCAAAAUAUGUAAAUUUCCUUCCUAAAAUUUUCACAAGUUGGAGAGAGAGCGAGGGAAUGCCAGCCUUCCUCUUCUCUUCUUGCUAUUUCUAUUCCUGUAGAUGCUGCUAUAACGACAACAUCCAGCAGCUUUUCUACCAACUGUAUGAUCAUUUUAGGGGUUCUGAGCUAUUUUUUCCUAGGAGAGGCUCUUCUAAGGGAGCUAGUCUAUCGUUUCCUCUCCUUUGACUGUUUUUCAUUCUCGGAACAUGAGGAAGUAAACUACAUAAGAGACAAAAGACACCAGAAUAACGCUCCCAUGUAGAAGGCCACCUAUUCAGGGGGUAUGAAACGCCACCCCUCUGGAAACAUCAGCAUAAGAGGACGACAGUAACUGGUGACACCGGUGAAAGUGACUCCUUUUGCAGCGGAAUGCCUUGCAGGAUGACCUGAGCACUUCAAGACAGAAAAUAUUCCUUUGCUGUAGCCCUUAUACUGUGUUCCCAGCACUACAGUGGGAAAGGCAACUUCCUCCUAAUUCAAAUAGGUCAAGAGAAGAAAAAGAGAAAGCAUAUGCUAAGAACAGGUAUGUUUUUCUUCAGAAAUAUCAGAUUUAUGAUGAAAGAAAAAUGUUUCAGAAAUCCAGUUUCAAUAAUGACCAAGCAUGUUUCAUUCCAUACUCGUAGAUUCAGUUCACAGUCACAUUUCUGCCCUGCGAGCCUCAAGUUUCUGUCUGCAGCUCACAUACUACCAUCUAUUAUAGACAAAGUGUGCAAGAAGCCAUUUAGAGAUAAUACAUAUAUAUUUUUGUAUUCCCAGUCUUUCAUACUGUCUUCUACCAAAUAAGCCUUUCAUUUUCACAUGACUUGCUCACCUCUAGGGGAAUGAAAGAAGUUUAAUCCCUAUAAUCCAUUCACUACUCGGUUUCAGCAACUAGAAGAAGAGCCACUGGAAGCACUUAACGCAUGCGUUGAUGAAGAGAGCGAUUCGCUCACUUAGUUUUCUACUGACCACUGAAUGGGAUGCUACCUCCAUAAAACAUUUUUUUCUUCUCUCUGAAUAACCUGGGUCAGUUGUGGACUAGCAGAUAAAAUGAAAAACGAUGGCUGAGCAAUGAUCGUUUAAUUUCCUGUGUUGUGGAGAUACCCCAGAUAGCAAUGGUGCCAGGUAAGAAUCUAAAAUGUCUGCCUGGACCAUGGCAGCCUUGGUGUGAGGAGCAACAUUCUGCAAUUUCAAGGUUCUUCUGUUAAUCUGUUGGUGCUGCACUAAGCGUGGUACGUGAAAACCACAGACUCUAAAAAUAAAAGCAGAAAAUAGAUAUAAGUCUCAGGUAACAUCCCAAGGGAGCUGAUUAUACAUACAUUCAUGAAUGCAAUAUUGCCUUGCCCCAGAUGACUUCAAGUUUUUCAUUUAAAUAUUUUCCUAAAAAUUGUUCCACGAGGACUUCUACGAAUAGCACACCCGGGGACAGAAAGUCCUGCAGAGCUGUGUGAGUACACCUCGACAGUUAUUCCAUAUAUAAGAGUGGAAAUGUACAGAGACUUCACACGGUGAAGUGAGCAAGGUAAAGAACACAGCUUCCUUUCUGUUAGCGUACUGCCGAACAUACACACGAGAGGCAUCUGGUAGUGAAUAUAAUUGAACUACUCUGCUUCUGGUAAGGAUCCCAAAGAAAAAGAACUUGAAUAAUGGAAAAGGAAAGCAUGACGACAACAGCCGUACCACAAUGGGCCCACUGCAGAAGUACUCAUCCAUCUCAUAGUCCAUUUUGCCGGGUCACGAGAGCACUGAACUAACAGAUGGGACAUCCAGCAUUCCUGAGCCAAACUCCCCACUGCUCUGCAGAACCACACACUCAUCUUUUCUGAUUUUUUCAAACUUUAUUUUAAAAGCAAUUCAGUUUUCCUGCCCAUUUGAAACCUCUCCAGAGCAUUUACAGAACAACAGUGAGAACUUUUCUUGCCAUUUCCAGUAAACUGUGCUCACUUUUUUUUAGCUUGCUUCUGCUAACCUCGAGCUUGCAAGUUCCUUUCCUCCCAUACAUAAAAAACGCACAACUUCCAACUGUUGUGUCUCCCAGCACGCAGACUCUUCAUUCCUCUUAACAUCCACAGCCCUAUUCUGCGUCUGUUCAGAACCGUUUAUCUGAGUGUGGGCAAUCAGUUGGGCCGCAGAUAAGGAUACGGUCUCAGGCAGCCAUGCAAUCUGACAUCAGUAUUUUGCACAGCCAGCGGAGGCCCUCCCGUAGCAGUUCCAGAGGACGGCCUUUUCACUCACGUACUUUCUGAGCCCCCUCACAGCAGCAGCAUGCCGCCAUCCUGCUGCCUACCGCUCCGACCCCUAAUUCGCUGCCAAGCCGGGGAGCUCUACUUGCAGAGAUCACCACUGCCUUCUAUUUGCAUCACCAAAUCCCAUUAAUCUUUGCUUUACUUCAUCUUGUUGGCACAUGGAUGUUCCAAGCCUCCCUUCUGUCGAUGCAGUCUCCCAGCUUCGCGUUGCAGAAUUUCCUCACUCUAAUUCCACUCGUUUACAAACUGCUUCCCUCCUCAGCUCGUCCUCAGACCAAACAUCCCCACUGCCGAGUCCUGCCAGCUUUGCGGAUCCG
Long non-coding RNA from Gallus gallus (chicken), 6767 nucleotides. The record is from Ensembl. NCBI's taxonomy places the organism in Eukaryota, Metazoa, Chordata, Aves, Galliformes, Phasianidae.